Molecule: long non-coding RNA, 882 nt
Organism: Humulus lupulus (European hop)
Lineage: Eukaryota; Viridiplantae; Streptophyta; Magnoliopsida; Rosales; Cannabaceae
Exons: 3
Source: RefSeq, a predicted model, not a curated record
UGACUCUUAAGUUUUCUCUCAAAAUUUUCUCAAUCUCUCCUUGUGACGGACUGCCUUAAAGGCUGAUUCCCUUGGGAAUUUUUAUUCACAAGUCUCUCAUCUUUCAUCUUCCUUGAACUAAAUCCUAAGUGUUGGGGUAUUAGUUUGGAGCUAAGGAGGUCACACCCAAAGUUGUUUCCACAAAGAUAAAAGGCUUAAUGAGGGAUUCAAAGUGCUAGGGUGUGCCAAAAUUCAAUCCAAAGACUACUAGAGAUUUUGUUGUAGCAAAGGAAAUUUUGCUAGAGCAUUUUCAUCAUGAUUCAAGUGGGAAAUUUCAGCAUAUGAAGAAGAGACACUUAGCAUGUCAUUAAUUGAGUUGGCAAAGAGUGAAGAGGUGGCUAAAAUCAGAGGCAAUGAGUAGCAUUUUGGAGAAUUUUCUACAAGAGAAAAAAAAGCUUUGGGACAAAAAUAGAGACAAAUGUUGUGGGCCUUCUAAUUAGGAAAAUAUUUGCACCCUAGCAUCAUUAAAAAGAAGGCAGCCACCAUUUUAGAGAGUAUCCUAGAGCUACCAUUGGAGAAAGAGGAAAAAGGGAAAUGAAGAAGAAGAAAUUCCAAGUUUGAAGAGGAGAAUCCAAGGAAGAAAAGGAAGAGGAGGAAGACAAGAUUAUUGAUUCAUCAUCUUUGACUUGCUUUCUCCUCUUUAAUCUCAUUUAAGUUCAUAAUUUCUUUAGCUUUUUCUAUUUAAAUAUCCAUGGGCUGUUUUAAUUUUGGAUUUGUGCUCUUGAAUUUAGCCAUGAACUAGAUAUUUUGAGGCUUGGAUUAUUAAUGAACUCUGUCUAUGUCUUAAUUCUAAUUUUAUAGCACUCUAUUUUAGCAAAAAUAAACAUUGUUCAUUCAAGUGUG